Molecule: ribosomal RNA, 492 nt
Filed under: uncultured bacterium
Lineage: Bacteria
Description: partial 16S ribosomal RNA
Rfam family: Bacterial small subunit ribosomal RNA
Source: RNAcentral
AGUGAACGCUGGCGGUAGGCCUAACACAUGCAAGUCGAACGGCAGCACAAUAAGAGCUUGCUCUUACGGGUGGCGGGUGGCGGACGGGUGAGGAAUACAUCGGAAUCUACUUUUUCGUGGGGGAUAACGUAGGGAAACUUACGCUAAUACCGCAUACGACCUACGGGUGAAAGCAGGGGAUCUUCGGACCUUGCGCGAUUGAAUGAGCCGAUGUCGGAUUAGCUAGUUGGCGGGGUAAAGGCCCACCAAGGCGACGAUCCGUAGCUGGUCUGAGAGGAUGAUCAGCCACACUGGAACUGAGACACGGUCCAGACUCCUACGGGAGGCAGCAGUGGGGAAUAUUGGACAAUGGGCGCAAGCCUGAUCCAGCCAUACCGCGUGGGUGAAGAAGGCCUUCGGGUUGUAAAGCCCUUUUGUUGGGAAAGAAAAGCAGCAGGUUAAUACCCCGCUGUUCUGACGGUACCCAAAGAAUAAGCACCGGCUAACUUCGUG